This 91-nucleotide transfer RNA is filed under the name Verrucomicrobiaceae bacterium. RNAcentral describes it as "tRNA-Ser". It matches the Rfam family "tRNA". From Rfam's summary of the family: Transfer RNA (tRNA) molecules are approximately 80 nucleotides in length. Their secondary structure includes four short double-helical elements and three loops (D, anti-codon, and T loops). Lineage: Bacteria; Pseudomonadati; Verrucomicrobiota; Verrucomicrobiia; Verrucomicrobiales; Verrucomicrobiaceae. The record is from RNAcentral.
GGUGAGGUGACCGAGCGGUUUAUGGUUCUCGUCUUGAAAACGAGCGUGGGUGAUGAGCCCACCGUGGGUUCGAAUCCUACCCUCACCGCCC